This is a long non-coding RNA of Populus trichocarpa (black cottonwood), 766 nucleotides long. RefSeq lists it as uncharacterized. Lineage: Eukaryota; Viridiplantae; Streptophyta; Magnoliopsida; Malpighiales; Salicaceae. The record is from RefSeq and is a predicted model, not a curated record. The transcript has 2 exons.
UUUUUUUUUCCUUUUCAAUUUGAAUAAUUAUAUUUUCUUUCCUUUUACUUUGUAGGUGUUUUGCUUGAAUGCUGGACAGAACAAACGUGGUGGAUUUUUUAAGAUUUCUGAAGCAUCAAUUAGCACAAACUGCAGGAACAUUAUCAUUCCUUGCGGAAAGAAUAAGGACAAUGGUUGUCAAUUGUUUACAAGGACAUUAGAAGAGAUUGGUACAGCUACAAGAGUUCUUUUCCCUCCACAUCAGGUCUCUGGCUUUUCAUUUUUCUUGUUUCGUGUUUGUGUAUAUGCAAAUGCAUUUUCUAUUCUGCAGCGGCAGCAAAUUUAUAUUCCUUCAGAGGAACCCACGGAGCUUGCAGACGCCAAAAUGCUCAGAGCACUUCAGCACCACAAUCAAAUGUGGAGCCUGCAUGCUACGAAAGUAAUAGCUGUUGAUCUUCAAAAAUGAUGAGAGUAGGCCAGAAGCAGUUCUUCUUUGAUCUUGGAAGCAAUAAGAGUGGUCAUUUCCUUGAGAUUACCAAUGGUUCAUAUUCAAGAGAAGGCCAUUUGACUGAAGAGAAUGUCAAUAAGCGGUGCAGUGCAGAAAUGAGUGAAACUCAGUGUUGAACGCAGAUGAAGAAGCUUUAAUCUGAUAGCUCUACUCUGUUUAGACAAGUCAUGGGACUUUUGAUGUCUUAAACUGGAUCAACCCUCUAGUUUAUCAAACUUUCUGUACUUGACAAACCAUAGAACCUUCUGAACAUUGGAUCAAUGAACAGUAUUUAGUACA